UGUUCCUACGGGAGGCAGCAGUGAGGAAUAUUGGUCAAUGGGCGGAAGCCUGAACCAGCCAAGUCGCGUGAAGGAAGAAGGCUUUCGGGUUGUAAACUUCUUUUAUCAGGGACGAAGCAAGUGACGGUACCUGAUGAAUAAGCCACGGCUAACUACGUGCCAGCAGCCGCGGUAAUACGUAGGUGGCAAGCGUUAUCCGGAUUUACUGGGUGUAAAGGGCGUGUAGGCGGGAGUGCAAGUCAGAUGUGAAAACUAUGGGCUCAACCCAUAGCCUGCAUUUGAAACUGUACUUCUUGAGUGCUGGA
Molecule: ribosomal RNA, 305 nt
Filed under: uncultured bacterium
Lineage: Bacteria
Description: bacterial SSU rRNA
Rfam family: Bacterial small subunit ribosomal RNA
Source: RNAcentral